UGUCAACCUAGAUCUUCAAUCAAGCAAAUCCCAUCUAACAUGAACUGGAGGUCACCACUCUCAUUCAGAUGAAAUUCUUUGGAGAGAAAUUUAUUUUCAAAGUAAGGAAUUCAUCAAAGUAAAAAUCUAUUCCAUAACCUGAUUUAAAGUCUUCAAAUUCUGUCACUUCAACUCUGGUCAAGUAGUGCAGAGCCUCUCCAUCCUCCUUCCCAAGCAGUGCAGACACUUGUGGAUGGUUGACAAAUGUUACCCAAAAACUUGGGAUUUUGGAUAUCAAUUCUGACCUCCUCUGAAAAAAUUGCUGACGGAGUUUGUUAGAUUUUUGUUCUACGUUCAAAAUUUCCUUACUGGCUUGUUCAUUAAGUCGGUCUAUUUCAUUUUCUACUUCAUCAAUAUGUUCAAUUGCUUCUUGCUGUUCUUUUUCAACCUCCAGCUUCCUAUGGAACUGACUUGUAUUUCUUGGACUGAGGCUGGAGCUCAGAUUGCGGUUUCCCAGCCAUAGCACAAGGAAAACGGCUAGAAACCAGCAGCCAGAGCCUCGGUACUCAGAACAGGAAGAAAGCUGCAGGAACUCUCCACCCACUAUUCUCAAACAAUUCAAAAUGAGUAUCAAGAAAAAAAAUUCUGAAAUUCUACAACUACAAUAUCACAUUUCUAUGAAGAUAUGUGCAGCCGUGCAGUUCCAAAUAAAACUGACCAGUUUAAGAAUACUUAUUAUAGAGGAUCUAAAUAAUAAUCCAGAAUUGCUAUUGCUAUUUCUUUAUGAAAAUACUUGAAUCAGCCGGCCGUUGGUGGAGCACGCCUUUAAUCCCAGCACUCAGGAGGCAGUAGCAAGCACUCAGGAGGCUGUAGCAGGUGGAUCACUAUGAGUUGGAGGUCUCCAAAGCUACACAGAGAAGACAUGUGUGGAAAAACCAAAGGGGGCUGGGGAAGGAAACAAGUGAAACUCUAAUAUAAUAUAGUACACAAACUUCAAAGCACUACUAAUGACAACUGUUGAUGUCACUAUCUCCUCUAUAUCAUUUAGGGUAAUGACUCCUUAAAAUUCUGGAUCAGAGAGUGAAGACUAAAAAUAACAUCAACAACGAAACAACUUCCUCCACUUGUUUGAAGUGAUGAUACUGUUCUCAGUAUAGCUAGGCUACUUCUCUGUAUGUACUUGCCUGUUUCCUCCUUUCCGUGUUACAUUUUUCCUUCUUAAGAGUCUGAAUUAAAGUAGAAAUACAUAAUAAUUAAUGGAAAGAGAAACUUGA
This is a non-coding RNA of Cricetulus griseus (Chinese hamster), 1253 nucleotides long. NCBI's taxonomy places the organism in Eukaryota, Metazoa, Chordata, Mammalia, Rodentia, Cricetidae. The record is from RefSeq and is a predicted model, not a curated record.